CAGUCGCCGCGGUAACACGUAGGGUGCAAGCGUUAAUCGGAAUUACUGGGCGUAAAGCGUGCGCAGGCGGUUAUAUAAGACAGAUGUGAAAUCCCCGGGCUCAACCUGGGAACUGCAUUUGUGACUGUAUAGCUAGAGUACGGCAGAGGGGGAUGGAAUUCCGCGUGUAGCAGUGAAAUGCGUAGAUAUGCGGAGGAACACCGAUGGCGAAGGCAAUCCCCUGGGCCUGUACUGACGCUCAUGCACGAAAGCGUGGGGAGCAAACAGGAUUAGAUACCCCCGUAGUCCCUGUCUCUUAUAA
Molecule: ribosomal RNA, 301 nt
Filed under: uncultured bacterium
Lineage: Bacteria
Description: partial 16S ribosomal RNA
Rfam family: Bacterial small subunit ribosomal RNA
Source: RNAcentral